Molecule: ribosomal RNA, 353 nt
Filed under: uncultured bacterium
Lineage: Bacteria
Description: bacterial SSU rRNA
Rfam family: Bacterial small subunit ribosomal RNA
Source: RNAcentral
UGUAGGUUGCAUUAGACAGAGAUGAGUAUUUCUUCGGACUACUUACAAGGUGCUGCAUGGUUGUCGUCAGCUCGUGCCGUGAGGUGUCAGGUUAAGUCCUAUAACGAGCGCAACCCCUGUCGUUAGUUGCCAGCAUGUAAAGAUGGGGACUCUAACGAGACUGCCGGUGCAAACCGGGAGGAAGGUGGGGAUGACGUCAAAUCAUCACGGCCCUUAUGUCUUGGGCUACACACGUGCUACAAUGGUAUGGACAGAGAGCAGCCACUGGGUGACCGGGAGCGAAUCUACAAACCCUGUCCCAGUUCGGAUCGGAGUCUGCAACUUGAAUCCCUGAAGGUGGAAUCGCUAGUAAU